This is a long non-coding RNA of Quercus robur (English oak), 513 nucleotides long. RefSeq lists it as uncharacterized. The record is from RefSeq and is a predicted model, not a curated record. The transcript is spliced from 2 exons. NCBI's taxonomy places the organism in Eukaryota, Viridiplantae, Streptophyta, Magnoliopsida, Fagales, Fagaceae.
UAGCUCAAAUGACACAUGCUCCUCCCUCACUUAUUUAUUUAUUUUAAUAAGUAAUCUAGCUAGUGAUUUUGUGUCUCAGACUUGGAUUAUUGUGUUUGUAGGUGGAGAGAAAUCUUUAGGAUGACUAAUAGUGAAGAGACAGGUAGUCCGGUUCGGGAGUUGAUGAGCUUGAGAAGCGGUUGGUAGCUCUUAGAAAUCCAUGAGUUGAAGAUUGGAUAUUUGUGAGUUACUGAAUUUCUGCAGGGUAGUUUACUGUAGAUAUUCUAUCUCCAUAGGAUGCUACUCAUUUCAGCAUGUAUCUUGAGAUGCUAUUUCAUUGUUUUUUUCUAUGUAUUUUGUGGACUGCCAUGGACAGUGAUUCUCCAUCACAUUUGCAAAAAAUGUAAUUGUUGAACUUGUUUUGUUUUGUUUGCUAGUAAUUGGUUGGGAACUUGUUGGGUUUUGGCAAUUGUUGAGUGCUUAUAGAAUUGUAAAUUAUUUGGGCAGGAAUUGUAUUUAGCAGGGAAAAAAAGA